AUGGAUGAUGUUUGGAACUAUAGAGCAUGGGAGGAUGUGCUCAAAACACCAUUAGUCAAUGCUGCUGCUCCAGGCAGCCGUGUCCUCGUCACCACUAGAGAUGAAGGUGUAGCCCGAGGGGUGUCAGCUAUAUGGCCGUACCAUCAUGUCGACACAUUAGCACCCGACGAUGCUUGGUUAUUGCUCAAGACGCAGGUACUCUCAAGUGAGAUAAAUGAAGACCACAUAAAUACGCUAAAGGAUAUUGGACUCAAAAUUAUUCAAAAAUGUGGUUAUUUACCACUCGCCAUCAAAGUAAUGGGAGGACUUUUGCGUGAAAGAGGAGGGCUACGUCGUGACUGGCAGCAUGUUUUGGAUGAUUCAAAAUGGUCAAGAACUAAAAUGCCUGAUGAGCUCAACUAUGCAGUAUACUUAAGCUAUGAAUAUAUGCCUUCUUACCUGAAGCAGUGCUUUCUGUACUACUCUCUUCUUCCUAAAAGUAGAAACUUUACUAUGGCUCAAGUUGCUGCAAUGUGGAUUAGUGAAGGAUUUAUUCAUGGAAAUUCUAAUGAUUUAGAAGAAUUGGGAGAAAAUUACUAUAAGGAGUUGGUAUCUAGGAACCUGAUAGAACCAGAUAAAUCGUAUGUUAAUAUAUGGGUUUGCAGCAUGCAUGAUGUUGUUCGCUCAUUUGCUCAUUAUAUGACUAAAGAUGAAGCACUCGUGACUCAAGACGGAGAAAAUGAUAUUCUUGCUUCACAAAAGUUCCUUCGGUUGUCCAUAGAAACUAACCGAUCACAAUCAGGUGAACUUAAUUGGAAAUCUCUUCAGACACAACAAUCAGUGAGAACAUUGAUCUCAACUAUCCACAUUAAGAUCAACCCUGGUGAUUCAUUGGCUACCUUUUCUAGUUUGCGAACUCUGCUUAUGGAAUCUGGAGAUAUGGCUGUAUUGGUUGAAUCAUUGCAUCAACUCAAGCACCUAAGGUAUCUAACACUAGUAAAUUAUGAUAUAUCUGUAAUUCCAGGGAACAUUGGCAAGAUGAAACUAUUGCAAUUCCUUGACCUUCGUGGAUGUACAAGAUUGUUGAAUCUUCCUGAUAGCUUUGUGAAGCUUGGCCAGUUGAGGUUACUUUCACUUCCCAAAGGAUGUAUGGUACCUAGAGGGUUUAGUGGUCUGACAAAUAUGAGGAGACUAAGUAUGUUUCAAGCCCACAUGGAUGGUGAUUGGUGCAGUUUGGAUGAGUUAGGGCCUCUUUCCCAGCUCAGAUUUCUUGCAUUAGUUCAAUUGGAGAAUGUAUCUGCUGCCUCGUUUGCUGCUAAUGCUAGGCUCAGCGAGAAGACGCAUCUUAUCAUGCUAUCCCUGGUCGAUCUGCACUAG
This 1356-nucleotide ribosomal RNA is filed under the name Triticum aestivum (bread wheat). RNAcentral's name for it is "partial small subunit ribosomal RNA". The record is from RNAcentral. Lineage: Eukaryota; Viridiplantae; Streptophyta; Magnoliopsida; Poales; Poaceae.